This 427-nucleotide unclassified non-coding RNA is filed under the name Hevea brasiliensis (rubber tree). The record is from RNAcentral. Lineage: Eukaryota; Viridiplantae; Streptophyta; Magnoliopsida; Malpighiales; Euphorbiaceae.
AUUAGCCAUUUUGUUUGUAUUGGAAGAAAGUUUUGAAUCCUGCAAUCUGAACCACUGAAAAAUCAACCAUACAAGAAAAUAGAGAUAAUUUUAACCGAGAAUAUUGCCAAACCAAAAAAAAAAAAAACCCAAAAACUUCAGUGAUCAUGAAUUGGAUUUUUCAAUCUUGACUGCAACCCACUGGGUCAAAGAAGGCAAGAACUUCUUUGCCACAGAUUCUUCAUGUUCAAAAGCAAUCUGGGCAAGAAGAAAAAAAAAAUAUCUUACUUGAGAAACAAAACAAGGAAAAAGUCUGAAACUCCCAGCUGCUGGCCUUCAUACAGUCACCAUAUGAGCUAAAAAGCGUUUUUCACAUUCUCCGUUAUCUCAGAGAUGAGCGAAACAUUUAAGGAUUAUGCGCAACAUGGAAAUAAUUCAUAGCAGCAAG